RNAcentral lists this non-coding RNA (22 nucleotides) under Arabidopsis thaliana (thale cress). The record is from RNAcentral. Lineage: Eukaryota; Viridiplantae; Streptophyta; Magnoliopsida; Brassicales; Brassicaceae.
UCAAGAUGUUCAGCCAUGCUCU